RNAcentral lists this ribosomal RNA (600 nucleotides) under uncultured bacterium. Its description in RNAcentral is "bacterial SSU rRNA". It matches the Rfam family "Bacterial small subunit ribosomal RNA", at positions 77 to 680 of the family's 1533-position model. The record is from RNAcentral.
UGCUUCUUGGGUGACGAGCGGCGGACGGGUGAGUAAUGCAUAGGAAUCUGCCCGAUAGUGGGGGAUAACCUGGGGAAACCCAGGCUAAUACCGCAUACGUCCUACGGGAGAAAGGGGGCUCCGGCUCCCGCUAUGGGAUGAGCCUAUGUCGGAUUAGCUAGUUGGUGAGGUAACGGCUCACCAAGGCAACGAUCCGUAGCUGGUCUGAGAGGAUGAUCAGCCACAUCGGGACUGAGACACGGCCCGAACUCCUACGGGAGGCAGCAGUGGGGAAUAUUGGACAAUGGGCGCAAGCCUGAUCCAGCCAUGCCGCGUGUGUGAAGAAGGCCCUCGGGUUGUAAAGCACUUUCAGCGAGGAAGAACGCCUAGCGGUUAAUACCCGCUAGGAAAGACAUCACUCGCAGAAGGAGCACCGGCUAACUCCGUGCCAGCAGCCGCGGUAAUACGGAGGGUGCAAGCGUUAAUCGGAAUUACUGGGCGUAAAGCGCGCGUAGGUGGCUUGAUAAGCCGGUUGUGAAAGCCCCGGGCUCAACCUGGGAACGGCAUCCGGAACUGUCAAGCUAGAGUGCAGGAGAGGAAGGUAGAAUUCCCGGUGUAGCG